RNAcentral lists this ribosomal RNA (512 nucleotides) under Solicoccozyma terrea. RNAcentral's name for it is "eukaryotic LSU rRNA". It matches the Rfam family "Eukaryotic large subunit ribosomal RNA", at positions 125 to 624 of the family's 3401-position model. The record is from RNAcentral. Lineage: Eukaryota; Fungi; Basidiomycota; Tremellomycetes; Filobasidiales; Piskurozymaceae.
UAGCCUCAGGCUGCCCGAGUUGUAAUCUAUAGAAACGUUUUCCGCGUUGGCCCAUGUACAAGUCUCCUGGAAUGGAGCGUCAUAGAGGGUGAGAAUCCCGUCCUUGACAUGGACUACCAAUGCUUUGUGAUACGUUUUCAAAGAGUCGAGUUGUUUGGGAAUGCAGCUCAAAAUGGGUGGUAAAUUCCAUCUAAAGCUAAAUAUUGGCGAGAGACCGAUAGCGAACAAGUACCGUGAGGGAAAGAUGAAAAGCACUUUGGAAAGAGAGUUAAACAGUAUGUGAAAUUGUUGAAAGGGAAACGAUUGAAGUCAGUCAUGUCUAUUGGACUCAGCCGGUUCUGCCGGUGUACUUCCUUUAGAUGGGGUCAACAUCAGUUUUGAUCGCUGGAAAAGGGCAGGAGGAAUGUAGCACUCUCGGGUGAACUUAUAGCCUUCUGUCGUAUACAGUGGUUGGGACUGAGGAACGCAGCAUGCCUUUAUGGCCGGGGUUCGCCCACGUACAUGCUUAGGAU